Apodemus sylvaticus (European woodmouse) is the source of this 109-nucleotide small nuclear RNA. NCBI's taxonomy places the organism in Eukaryota, Metazoa, Chordata, Mammalia, Rodentia, Muridae. The record is from RefSeq and is a predicted model, not a curated record.
GGAUUCUUGAUUAGGCAGUACAAAUACUAAAAUUGAAAUGAUAUAUAGAAGAUAAACAUAGCCCCCUCAAGAAAAUAACAGGCACAAUUUUGAAGCAUUCAAUAGUUUU